RNAcentral lists this transfer RNA (69 nucleotides) under Ovis aries (sheep). It matches the Rfam family "tRNA". From Rfam's summary of the family: Transfer RNA (tRNA) molecules are approximately 80 nucleotides in length. Lineage: Eukaryota; Metazoa; Chordata; Mammalia; Artiodactyla; Bovidae. The record is from Rfam by way of RNAcentral.
CCUGGUGGCUCAAAUGGUAGAGCAUCUGCCUGCAAUGCAGGAGACCCAGGUUCAAUCCCUGGGUCAGGA